RNAcentral lists this ribosomal RNA (440 nucleotides) under uncultured bacterium. Its description in RNAcentral is "partial 16S ribosomal RNA". It matches the Rfam family "Bacterial small subunit ribosomal RNA", at positions 338 to 795 of the family's 1533-position model. The record is from RNAcentral.
CCUACGGGAGUCAGCAGUAGGGAAUAUUGCUCAAUGGGGGAAACCCUGAAGCAGCAACGCCGCGUGGAGGAUGAAUGUUUUCGGGUUGUAAACUCCUUUUUUUAGAGAAGAUAAUUGCGGUAUCUAACGCAUAAGCACCGGCUAACUACGGGCCAGCAGCCGCGGUAAUACGGAGGGUGCAAGCGUUACUCGGAAUCACUGGGCGUAAAGAGCGCGUAGGCGGGAUAGCAAGUCAGAUGUGAAAUCCUAUGGCUUAACCAUAGAACUGCAUUUGAAACUGUUAUUCUAGAGUAUGGGAGAGGUAGGUGGAAUUCGUGGUGUAGGGGUAAAAUCCGUAGAGAUCAAGAGGAAUACUCAUUGCGAAGGCGACCUGCUAGAACAUAACUGACGCUGAUGCGCGAAAGCGUGAGGAGCAAACAGGAUUAGAUACCCGAGUAGUC